UACGUAGGGACCGAGCGUUGUCCGGAAUCAUUGGGCGUAAAGAGCGUGUAGGCGGCUGACCAAGUCCUGCGUGAAAUCUUGCGGCUCAACCGCAAGCGGUCGUGGGAAACUGGUCGGCUAGAGUGCGGGAGAGGAGAGUGGAAUUCCUGGUGUAGCGGUGAAAUGCGCAGAUAUCAGGAGGAACACCGAUGGCGAAGGCAGGUCUCUGGGCCACUACUGACGCUGAGAAGCGAAAGCAUGGGGAGCGAACAGG
This 253-nucleotide ribosomal RNA is filed under the name uncultured bacterium. RNAcentral describes it as "partial 16S ribosomal RNA". It matches the Rfam family "Bacterial small subunit ribosomal RNA", at positions 524 to 776 of the family's 1533-position model. The record is from RNAcentral.